RNAcentral lists this ribosomal RNA (252 nucleotides) under uncultured bacterium. RNAcentral describes it as "partial 16S ribosomal RNA". It matches the Rfam family "Bacterial small subunit ribosomal RNA", at positions 524 to 776 of the family's 1533-position model. The record is from RNAcentral.
UACGGAGGAUCCAAGCGUUAUCCGGAUUCACUGGGUUUAAAGGGUGCGUAGGUGGAAUGACAAGUCAGUGGUGAAAACCUGCAGCUUAACUGUAGAACUGCCAUUGAUACUGUUAUUCUUGAGUACAUUUGAUGUGAGUGGAAUGUGUCGUGUAGCGGUGAAAUGCUUAGAUAUGACACAGAACACCAAUGCGAAGGCAGCUCACAAAACUGUAACUGACACUGAGGCACGAAAGCGUGGGGAUCAAACAGG